Molecule: small nuclear RNA, 163 nt
Organism: Nannospalax galili (Upper Galilee mountains blind mole rat)
Lineage: Eukaryota; Metazoa; Chordata; Mammalia; Rodentia; Spalacidae
Gene: U1
Rfam family: U1 spliceosomal RNA
About the family: U1 is a small nuclear RNA (snRNA) component of the spliceosome (involved in pre-mRNA splicing). Its 5' end forms complementary base pairs with the 5' splice junction, thus defining the 5' donor site of an intron.
Source: Ensembl
GUACUUACCUUACAGGGGGAGACACCAUGUUCAAGAAGGUGGUUUUCCCAGGGUAAGGCUUACAUAUUGCACCAUAGAUGCACUCACCCUGUUAUUUCCCCAAAUGAGGGAACCUCAGCUGCGUAAUUUGUAGCAUGCAUGACUGUGUUAACACUCUUCCCUU